This 27-nucleotide non-coding RNA is filed under the name Rattus norvegicus (Norway rat). Lineage: Eukaryota; Metazoa; Chordata; Mammalia; Rodentia; Muridae. The record is from RNAcentral.
GGCAGAAACUACACAGAGACCAUGGAG